GUCAUGUAAUGUGCCUUUGGCAUUUAGGGUGCUUGUACCAGGAACGAUAAACCCACAAUAGGAAGUGAAGUCACUCCAUUGAACCUGCGCCGAGAGCCCUUUAUGUGAUGUCCUGAGGGAAACGAUGCCAGAGAUAAGGAGAGUGGGAUGCAGCCUCUGGAACCGGCUGUGAAAUUAACAGGACAGAUGUUAUUUCAGCCCACUGCUUAAACCGGUGUGAAAAACCGAUGGUGACAGUGAUAACAAAGCAGCAAAUAGACACAUGGAGGCAGAAUCUACGCAGCAGGAGUCAAACAAGGAGACGAAGAGGGAAAGCGUGAGGGAGACUCGCCAUCUGGAUGUUUCUUGAGCUCAGCCUCGGGCGAGAUUGGCCAGACCCCGUUGUUUAAAGCUGAUUAUAGUCGGCCAGAUGGACGCCCCGUGCCCACGCCUAGUCUGUGUGCGCUGCAGCUCCUCCCCCAGCGACUGAUGCACAUCUGUAUGAGCGGCUGACAAAGAGAUCCAAAGUGGGUCACAAAGACACACAAAUGAACCUGUGGUCACAAGGCAGUGCCCCAGUUGCCGCCCCGGUUCUGGCCCUGCUCCCCGGACGGCUCCUUUGACCCAGGAGGCUUUCCACGAAUCUGCUGAGUGAUCGCGGUGGUCAAUUAACACUGUGUGAAUUGCUCCCGGUGAAGAGAACGGUCUCAUCCGUAACACCAAGAAACCGAAGCCGCGGGUUCACCCGGAGUUCUGCUAUAAUAACUCCACAGACCUGGUACAAUGAAAAGUGGGUUGUGGGCCAAAAACUAUAAUAGCGGCUAUUGUGCUGGCAGUCACAUGGUCGCUCAAGUGCAAUAUUCAGGAAGGCCAUUUCAUUACAUCCAAUAGAGCCUCAAUCAUGUGUAAAAUUUGCAGUUUGAAUGGACUUGCUAUCAUAUCAAUCAACAGAGGCUGCAGUGAGGCCUAAUGGGGGCCAUCUCUUCCUGCCGACCUGCCGAUGCUUUUGUUCCUGUUACAGUAUCAGAGUUUGAUUUCAUUUAGCAUCCUUUAAUCAAGACAGGCCUAUCAGGCGUUUCUGUAUCAAUAGAGCUCCUGGAGGUUACAGACAGACAGACGUUGUUCUGUCAGAGGACGAAAAUGAAAAGGCAGAGGUUUAGGAUAAAAUACAGCAGUGAGUCAUGAAGGGGCGACACUGAAGUGAAACUAAACUAUGAAGCAGUUAUAACGACAGUCUGUGGUUAAUUAAACAGUAGCGUACGUAAGUUCACUUCAGUUGUUCCUCAAAAUCAUUCAUGCUUCUGUACAGAAAGUGAAAUUAUGAUCAAGGGGGAAAUUUGGCUUUCGCCACUUCCUGUUUGAUGCCUAAAAGUAUGCGUGUGCGCGUGUGCGUGCGCGCGUGUGUGUGUGUGUGCGUGCAUGUGUGUGUGUGUGUGUGUGUGUGCGUGCGUGCGUGCGUGCGUGCGUGCGUGCGUGCGUGCGUGCGUGCGUGUGUGUGUGUGUGUGUGUGUGUGUGUAGCAAACAGAGGCCUUUGCAUGUGCCUCCUUCCUACUGUACAUGACGCUGCAGUGAUGGUGAUGGGUGCUGACUCUGAGGUUUCACAGGGAGGAGAGGAAGCUCCAGAAGGGAUGUGAUGCAGUCACCAUCAUAAUCACAGCGAUGAUUCACAAAGACCAUUUCAAAGAAAUCGAGAAGCGUUACAUCAUUACUUGGAUAUCAAUUUAAUAGAAAUGAGUUUUCGCUUGUCUUUGUCCACGAGUGAAUCAGACUAACAACACUGUAGCAACUACUAUUAGUCUGUGCAUCAUUUGUAUAAAGCUCUACAGUAUAAACCAUCAGCUGUAGUUUGGCAUUUUGACACUUCUUUAAUCUGCCAAUUAUACAACGCAAAAGGGCUAAAGAUUUUAAAUGAAUAAUAAUAACUAGGCUAAUUUUUUAAUUAAACCAACAGCCUCUGCUUUCCAGCUCCAAAUGUUCAUUAUGGCGAAAUGACAUCAUCUGUGGUCACACUUUUGGGCGUGUGUUGAGGGUUUGGACACAUUUACUGAGUUUACAGAUGUUGUGUUGAAAAUAGGUGGUCAGUACCCCCACAAAACCCUUAAUUUGCACUUUGUCUGCCUUGUUUUUUAUUACGCUGCAAACAAUUAUGCAUACAAGGAACAUCCUAUAAACGACACUAUUAUAAACAUUUUAUGACUGCAGACAAUGUUUUCCCCAGCACAGGGACAUCAUAGGAAGUAAACGCAUGACCUCAUCACCCAUAUAUUAUAUCUGGAGGUAAAAUAUACACGCUGCAAGGUGCUUGGCACAAAGUCCGCGCACCAUGUGUCAUUUUCCCCAACAUGUUGUGUAGCGUGUUCAGUUCUAGUGCAGCUUUGCAGAACGUAGCUGUGGCUUUUGGUCUCUAGUAAAAUGUUUUUUUUUUUUGUCUAGACACCGCUCCAAAAUAGAAAUGCUGAGUGUUAACUCAGUUUUCCCCACAGGAUGAGUGUUUCAUUCUGAGGAGCGAAAAGGGUCCCUUUAUUGCAUUAUCCAACGUUCAGCAGACGUGAUAGAGGAGCGUUGAUGUGACUGGUGAGAUAACAUUUGUAUCUGAUGGAGAUUUGAGGCAUGAGAGUGAACCCAGACACCUAGUCACUGUACAGGCCUUGGCUUUUAUUUCUCAGUCAAAUGUGGUUAAAAUGUGCAGUUUGUACUUUCUCGCCGAUCUUUGCCCAGUUUUGUCUGGAAGGUGCUCGCACACGGGGCCCCGUGACUCAGGGCCCAGGAAUCUCCCCCUUCUCCGCUAAUGCACAGUGACAAACAGUGAGGAUGGAUCGAGGCCUCCAAAUAUUUUCAACAGGCUUCAUAGAACAAUCAAUUUAUCACAGGCGCCGGGUCGCGGCGCUGCCAAGGCUUUUAACUGCAGCACAAGACGUGGUCCGCGCUGGAGACUGAUGGUCCAGACGAGGCUCUAUUGUGAGCGACCCCGCUCGGCGCUUUGCAGACGGUGCCGCUCGGCCCUUUAGCCGGGUCGACGGGCUGAGCG
This is a long non-coding RNA of Betta splendens (Siamese fighting fish), 3008 nucleotides long. RefSeq lists it as uncharacterized. The transcript is spliced from 5 exons. NCBI's taxonomy places the organism in Eukaryota, Metazoa, Chordata, Actinopteri, Anabantiformes, Osphronemidae. The record is from RefSeq and is a predicted model, not a curated record.